CGUGAGACAGCGUAGCCGUUAGAGAUGGCAAGUCGAACGCUUCUUUUUCCCCGGAGCUUGCUCCACCGGAAAAAGAGGAGUGGCGAACGGGUGAGUAACACGUGGGUAACCUGCCCAUCAGAAGGGGAUAACACUUGGAAACAGGUGCUAAUACCGUAUAACAAUCAAAACCGCAUGGUUUUGAUUUGAAAGGCGCUUUCGGGUGUCGCUGAUGGAUGGACCCGCGGUGCAUUAGCUAGUUGGUGAGGUAACGGCUCACCAAGGCCACGAUGCAUAGCCGACCUGAGAGGGUGAUCGGCCACAUUGGGACUGAGACACGGCCCAAACUCCUACGGGAGGCAGCAGUAGGGAAUCUUCGGCAAUGGACGAAAGUCUGACCGAGCAACGCCGCGUGAGUGAAGAAGGUUUUCGGAUCGUAAAACUCUGUUGUUAGAGAAGAACAAGGAUGAGAGUAACUGUUCAUCCCUUGACGGUAUCUAACCAGAAAGCCACGGCUAACUACGUGCCAGCAGCCGCGGUAAUACGUAGGUGGCAAGCGUUGUCCGGAUUUAUUGGGCGUAAAGCGAGCGCAGGCGGUUUCUUAAGUCUGAUGUGAAAGCCCCCGGCUCAACCGGGGAGGGUCAUUGGAAACUGGGAGACUUGAGUGCAGAAGAGGAGAGUGGAAUUCCAUGUGUAGCGGUGAAAUGCGUAGAUAUAUGGAGGAACACCAGUGGCGAAGGCGGCUCUCUGGUCUGUAACUGACGCUGAGGCUCGAAAGCGUGGGGAGCAAACAGGAUUAGAUACCCUGGUAGUCCACGCCGUAAACGAUGAGUGCUAAGUGUUGGAGGGUUUCCGCCCUUCAGUGCUG
RNAcentral lists this ribosomal RNA (847 nucleotides) under Enterococcus faecium. Its description in RNAcentral is "bacterial SSU rRNA". It matches the Rfam family "Bacterial small subunit ribosomal RNA", at positions 30 to 848 of the family's 1533-position model. Lineage: Bacteria; Bacillati; Bacillota; Bacilli; Lactobacillales; Enterococcaceae. The record is from RNAcentral.